AAUAUAUUAUUUGAAUUAUUUGGAGGAAGAUUAUUAAUUAAAGUAAUUUUUAGAAAUAUGUAUUAGUAUAGUUUAUAGAAUUUAUGAAGUGAAUUAUAGAGUAGUAGUACUGUAGGGGAAAUAUGAAAUAGAUGAAACAGUUAUUAGGAUAGAAGAAGAAUAUAAUUUGUACCUUGGGUAUCAGGGUUUAUUAAAUAAUGAUAGUGAUUUAUAGUUCUCGAAUUGAAAAGAGUUAAAAUAGUAUAGUAGUUAAUGUAGUAUUGUUAUUAUGAAUAUUAUUUUAGGAAUGAAAUGUUAGACGUUUUUUAAGUUAUCUAGUUUCCUAAGAAAUGAAUUUAAUUCAUGUUAUUAGAAGUAAACAUUAAUUUUGUAAUUAAUGGUUUAUUUUUAGUAACAAAUAUAUAAAGGGAUAAGCUUUUAUAUAAAUUUUUUAUAAAUUGUGGGAGUUACAAAAAGUAGUAGACUUUAAAUUAGUCAUCUAUGAGAUAAUGUUAUAAAUUGUUUUGUGAAUAAGGUUAUUUUUAAUAAUUUUAAAUUAUUUAUUAGGAUAUUAUAUUGAAUAGAUUAAUAUAAGUAAUGAUGAUAAAAUGAGUAUAAUUAUAAUUGUUUAUUUAAAUUUAUAUGAGAAUUUGUAGUAAGGAACUAGGCAAAUUAUCACUCGCCUGUUUAUCAAAAACAUCUCUUUUUGGUUAUAUAUAAGGUAGGGCCUGCCCACUGAAGUGUUUGAAGGGCCGCGGUAUUAUGACUGUGCAAAGGUAGCAUAAUCAUUAGUCUUUUAAUUGAAGGCUGGAAUGAAUGGUUUGACGAGGUGAUAACUGUCUCAUUACAAUAGAUAGAAGUUAACUUUUAAGUUAAAAGGCUUAAAUUUUAAUGGAGGACGAGAAGACCCUAUAGAGCUUUAUACAUAGAUUUAAGCUUGGGUUUAGAAGUGUUUAAGGGUUUAGGUUAAUUGUAUUGUGUUGGGGUGACAUAAAGAUAGAAUUAACUCUUUAUUUUGACUACAUUGAUGAAUGGGUGAUCGAUCCAUUUUUAGUGAUUAUAAGAUAAAGUUACCUUAGGGAUAACAGCGUAAUUUUUCUUGAGAGUUCAUAUCAACAGAGAAGAUUGCGACCUCGAUGUUGGAUUAAGGAAUAUAAUUAGAUGCAGCAGUUUAAUUAAUGGGUCUGUUCGACCUUUAAAUCCUUACAUGAUCUGAGUUCAGACCGGUGUAAGCCAGGUCGGUUUCUAUCCUUAUUGAAUUUUUAUACUUUAGUACGAAAGGACCAGGUAUUAUAAAUAUUUUAUGAAAGAUUGAUUAUUCGUA
RNAcentral lists this ribosomal RNA (1303 nucleotides) under Poecilimon martinae martinae. Its description in RNAcentral is "16S ribosomal RNA". The stretch from base 847 to 1238 matches the Rfam family "Bacterial large subunit ribosomal RNA", at positions 2049 to 2651 of the family's 2925-position model. Lineage: Eukaryota; Metazoa; Arthropoda; Insecta; Orthoptera; Tettigoniidae. The record is from RNAcentral.